This 1374-nucleotide long non-coding RNA is filed under the name Serinus canaria (Common canary). RNAcentral describes it as "lncRNA (ENSSCAG00000000737.1)". The record is from RNAcentral. Lineage: Eukaryota; Metazoa; Chordata; Aves; Passeriformes; Fringillidae.
AGGAGGAGGCGCGUCGUGCUCUCCGCCGCGGCGCCCCUUUUUUGGCCCGGGACGCGGGUUUUGCCAGUGGGGGCUGUGCUGCCGCGGUUGGUUUCCUGCAUCAGCUGCGGGGGUGUGUGUGCUGAGCACACACGUGUGUCUGUGUGUGUGUGUGCUCUCCGUGCCGGGUCACCCUGCCCGGCCCAGGGUUGCCCUCCCUUCUCCCACACCACUGGCAAGCGAGCGCUGGGCUGCCCUCCAAAAGGCGAGGGGGCCCGGCUGGGCUUUGGGUACUGAGGAGGGGAAUUUGGCAUUUCUUUUAUUUCUUUUUUUUUNNNNNNNNNNNNNNNNNNNNUUUUCUUUUGUCACCCAAACUCCCCGACAAAGCAGCGUUGGCAGCUUUUCAUUGCCACUCAGGUUUUCGAUCGGGUUUUGCUUUUGAAGCCAGUACGUGAUGUCUUUAGCAAACAAACCCAAAUAAAUAUUUCUUGCAUCACCCCGUGUUCUCCCUCCUCCCGUGCCUGCACUCCCCUGGCAGUCUGUGUGCUCAGCUGUGAGCACCUUGGCCCUGCUACCUCCUCCCCUUUGGAGUUCAGUGUCCAGACCAGAUCCUGCCUUAAGCAAACAGGACCACCAUUCUCAGAGUUUUCAAGGUUUUUACAGGAAGUUCUUUCAAUCUACAUUUAAUCAUGUUUGUAAGACAGAUGAGUAUUUUAAUCCCCAUUUCACAGGGGAAGGCAGGAAGAUGCAGAGUAGCUCGCUGCAUAGCUGUGGACUGACAUGACACCAUUUCUGCCUGAGCUUUUGGCCACAGGCGCUGUCUCUGGGCUAUUUUUCCUCUUGAGUUCACUUAAAUUAUACCUUGAGAACGCUUCCAGCUUACAGUGGUGGCAGGUUCUCUGCUGUGGGUAACCUGUCCUAUGUCCUGCCCAGAGGCAACAUGGGAGGUAAAUGUAAGUGAAAUCCCUUGGCUAGUUUGCAACUGGUGGUUAGGGCAAGAGAUGGUAUUCAUUGCUGAACUGGAGAUUCAUGAAAAAUCAGACCCUCAAAGAGUAUCUUCAGGAGAAAUGUGUUCUGCUGCUCCUAUUGGACAACACAUGAGGCCUCAUGUGGCUGGUCACAGGACAGGGAUCAGACAAGAGACCAGCCACAGAGCAGAGCAGCCAAUGAGAAGAAUGCCUUCUGACAGAGUCCCCGUGAGGUGUCCUUCGGUACUGGGAGCCCUGGUGAGACCAGCGCCAAGCCCGCACCUCGUGCAGCAUCCUCCCUGCAGAGACACCUGGUGAGGCCAAGAGACAGGGAGUCACCCUCAGCACUUCCCAGGCUGGCCCCACUCCAUGUCUGGCCAAACCAUUUAUGACAGCCUGUCAAAGUCUAAGCAGGAAAACAAAAAUU